AUCUAGCUGAUGAAUUCCAAGUAGGAUGAAACGCGCAUCCUACAU
Schistosoma haematobium is the source of this 45-nucleotide non-coding RNA. The record is from Rfam. NCBI's taxonomy places the organism in Eukaryota, Metazoa, Platyhelminthes, Trematoda, Strigeidida, Schistosomatidae.